AAAGGUACUCAAGGGCGCUAAAUGGAUGCCUGGACGUAUAUUACCGAUGAAGGACGUGGAAGACUGCGAUAAGCUUCGGGAAGCUGUCAACAAGCUUUGAUCCGGAGAUCUCCGAAUGGGGAAACCCAGCAUGAGUCAUGUCAUGUUGCCACUUGCUGAACACAUAGGCAAGCGAGCGGGAACCAUCUGAACUGAAACAUCUUAGUAGGAUGAGGAAGAGAAAGUAAAUAACGAUUGCGAAAGUAGUGGCGAGCGAAAUCGCAACAGCCCAAACCUUUUAAGUUUUUGCCUAUUAAUUUAGGCAAAUAAGUUGAUAGACGAAUACUUAUAAGGGGUUGUGAUAUUACAUAUGACCAAGUCAGAGAAUUUGAUUCAUUCAAAUAAUCUGAUUUGCGAUAACUGGCUAUCAACAGUUAGUAAGGUAAGAAAUCGGCGUGGUUAGUAGAAUAGUUUGAAUGACUAGCCAAAGAACGUGAAAGCCGUGUAUAUGAAAACGACGCUGACCUUAUGUAUGUUUUAUCGAGUAGGACGGGGCACGAGAAACCCUGUUUGAAUCUGGCUGGACCACCAGCCAAGGCUAAAUAUAAUAUACGAUCGAUAGUGAACUAGUACAGUGAUGGAAAGGUGAAAAGAACCCCGGGAGGGGAGUGAAAUAGAUCCUGAAAUUUAGUGCCUACAAGGAGUCGGAGCCGGCUUGUCCGGUGACGGCGUGCUUUUUGUAGAACGAUCCAGCGAGUUAAUUUUUACAGCGAGGUUAAGUCAAUUGACGGAGCCACAGUGAAAGCGAGCCUGAAUAGGGCGAUUAAGUUGUAAGGAUUAGACCCGAAACCGGGUGACCUAACCAUGAGCAGGUUGAAGCCACUGUAACAGGUGGUGGAGGACCGAACCAGGAUACGCAGCAAAGUGUUUGGAUGACUUGUGGUUAGCGGUGAAAUGCCAAUCGAACUCGGAGAUAGCUGGUUCUCCUCGAAAUAGCUUUAGGGCUAGCGUCGUGUUAGUAGCACAUGGGGGUAGAGCUCUGUAAAGGACUGGGGCGGGCAACUGUACCCACCCUUAACAAACUACGAAUACCAUGUGUGUAAUCACGGCAGUUAGAACAUCGGUGCUAAGAUCGGUGCUCAAAAGGGAAACAGCCCAGACCAUCAUCUAAGGUCCCUAAAUUAACGUUCAGUGGGAAACAAGGUGAGAUUUCUUAAACAGCUAGGAUGUUGGCUUAGAAGCAGCCAUUCAUUUAAAGAGUGCGUAACAGCUCACUAGUCAAGAGAUCUUGCGUGGAAAAUGUAACGGGGCUAAAACGUUAUACCGAAGAUAUGGAUUACACGCUAAGUACAAAGUUAAAGUUGUGUUACAAUCAAUUUAUGGAAAAUGAGAUUUACGUAGGUAGCGUUUAUAAACACUAUAAAGGCAAUAAGUAUGUUGUUGUAAGUAUAGCUGUUCAUACUGAGACGCUUGAAGAGCUUGUAGUUUAUCGAGCCAUUUAUGGCGACGGAGAACUGUGGGCUAGACCUAAGAAAAUGUUUUUAGAUAAUAUUGAAAAGAACGGAAAGAUCAUUCCAAGGUUUAAAUUGAUUAAAAAACUUUGAUUUUGUUCUUAGUGUGUAGUGGUAGAGGAGCGUUCCUAUCAGCAGUGAAGUCGAAUCGGAAGGUUCGGUGGAGCGGUAGGAAGUGAGAAUGCUGGAAUGAGUAACCAUAAGAGAGGUGAGAAUCCUCUCGGCCGUAAGAGCAAGGUUUCCUGAGCCAUGGUAAUCAUCUCAGGGUUAGUCGGGCCUAAGCCGAGGCGCAGAGCGUAGGCGAUGGACAUCAGGUUAAUAUUCCUGAACCGGUUAAGUUUUGUACACUGUUCACGGGGAAGUAAUCGAAGCGGAUUCAUGGUUUAUCCGUCCAACCGAGCGGGAACGCAAAGGGAGUGAAAGUGAUUCUUCGGAGUCGCGAUUUUGGUGAAAGCCCUGGCUAGAAAAGCAGGUGUACGCGUGGACUUAGCCGCCCGUACCGCAAACCAACACAGGUGCUCGAGUCGAGUAGACUCAGGCUUACGAGCGAACCUUCGCUAAGGAACUCGGCAAUACAGCGACCGUAACUUCGGGAUAAGGUCUGCCCCCACUUCGGUGGAUAUCAGCCGCGUUCACUCAGUGAAUAUUAGGUUAAAGAGUACAUUUUUAAUCACAAAACGAAUUUUCUGAGAUAGAGCAAACGAAUUGUUCUUUGAACGCGAACCUCUGGCAUCUAACGAUGUGGGGGCCGCAGCAAAAGAGCCCACGGAACUGUUUAUCAAAAACACAGGUCUCUGCUAACACGAAAGUGGAUGUAUAGGGGCUGACUCCUGCCCAAUGCUGGAAGGUUAAGGGGAGCGCUUCACGGUGCGAACUGAAGCCCUAGUCAAUGGCGGCGGUAACUAUAACCGUCCUAAGGUAGCGAAAUUCCUUGUCAGGUAAGUUCUGACCCGCACGAAUGGAGUAAUCAUGUGGGCACUGUCUC
RNAcentral lists this ribosomal RNA (2475 nucleotides) under human metagenome. RNAcentral describes it as "bacterial LSU rRNA". It matches the Rfam family "Bacterial large subunit ribosomal RNA", at positions 1 to 2022 of the family's 2925-position model. The record is from RNAcentral.